RNAcentral lists this ribosomal RNA (1346 nucleotides) under metagenome. RNAcentral's name for it is "bacterial LSU rRNA". It matches the Rfam family "Bacterial large subunit ribosomal RNA", at positions 1564 to 2925 of the family's 2925-position model. The record is from RNAcentral.
UGAGUACGAGCUGCUACGGCAGCGAAGUGGGUGAUGUCAAGCUUCCAAGAAAAGCCCUAUACCCGUUAAGGCAUGAUGGCCUGUACCCGAAACCGACACAGGUGGGGUGGUAGAGAAUACCGAGGGGCGCGAGAUAACUCUCUCUAAGGAACUCGGCAAAAUGGCCCCGUAACUUCGGGAGAAGGGGUGCACCGCAAGGUGGCUGCAGUGAAGAGGCCCAGGCGACUGUUUACCAAAAACACAGGUCUCCGCUAAGUCGCAAGACGAUGUAUGGGGGCUGACGCCUGCCCAGUGCCGGAAGGUUAGGAAGCUGGUCAGCGCAAGCGAAGCUAGCGACUGAAGCCCCGGUGAACGGCGGCCGUAACUAUAACGGUCCUAAGGUAGCGAAAUUCCUUGUCGGGUAAGUUCCGACCCGCACGAAAGGCGUAACGAUCUGGGCGCUGUCUCGGAGAGAGGCUCGGCGAAAUAGAAUUGUCUGUGAAGAUGCGGACUACGUGCACCCGGACAGAAAGACCCUAUGAAGCUUUACUGUAGCUUGGUAUUGUGCCCGGGCUCUGAAUGCGCAGGAUAGGUGGGAGGCUUUGAUCCAUUGCUUGUGGGUGAUGGUGAGCCACUGGUGAGAUACCACUCUUUCAGAGCUAGGGUUCUAACGGUCACCCGUUAUCCGGGGACCGGACAGUAUCAGGUGGGCAGUUCGACUGGGGCGGUCGCCUCCUAAAAGGUAACGGAGGCGCGCAAAGGUUCCCUCAGGCUGGUUGGAAAUCAGCCGACGAGUGUAAAGGCAGAAGGGAGCUUGACUGUGAGACCAACAAGUCGAACAGGGACGAAAGUCGGCCUUAGUGAUCCGACGGUUCUGAGUGGAAGGGCCGUCGUUCAACGGAUAAAAGUUACUCUAGGAUAACAGGCUGAUCUCCCCCAAGAGUUCACAUCGACGGGGAGGUUUGGCACCUCGAUGUCGGCUCAUCGCAACCUGGGGCUGAAGUCGGUCCCAAGGGUUGGGCUGUUCGCCCAUUAAAGCGGUACGCGAGCUGGGUUCAGAACGUCGUGAGACAGUUCGGUCCAUAUCCGGUGCACGCGCAGGAACAUUGAGAGGAUUUCUCCCUAGUACGAGAGGACCGGGAGGAACGCACCUCUGGUGUACCAGUUAUCGUGCCAACGGUAAACGCUGGAUAGCCAUGUGCGGAGCGGAUAACCGCUGAAAGCAUCUAAGUGGGAAGCCCACCUCAAGAUGAGUGUUCCCAUGGCAUAAGCCAGUAAGGUCACGGGAAGAACACCCGUUGAUAGGCUCUACGUGGAAGCGCGGCAACGCGUGAAGCGGAGGAGUACUAAUAGACCGAGGGCUUGAC